Polyplosphaeria fusca is the source of this 65-nucleotide non-coding RNA. NCBI's taxonomy places the organism in Eukaryota, Fungi, Ascomycota, Dothideomycetes, Pleosporales, Tetraplosphaeriaceae. The record is from the annotation of a GenBank genome assembly.
UCCCAGCUCAGCGGUAGAGCGCGACACUAGUAAUGUCGAGGUCCUCGGUUCGAUUCCGUGUGGAG